Molecule: ribosomal RNA, 678 nt
Filed under: Triticum aestivum (bread wheat)
Lineage: Eukaryota; Viridiplantae; Streptophyta; Magnoliopsida; Poales; Poaceae
Description: partial small subunit ribosomal RNA
Source: RNAcentral
AUGGAAGAAGGAAUUGAUGAAACUGUGAGCUCAUUGGAUGAAAAAGAUGAUGAGGAGAGUGAAGAACAAGCGGAGGAAGAACAGAUUGACCACCCAUGCCCACCUUCUAAUGAGAGUAACUCUUCAACUCAUACAUUGUUUAAUUUCCCAUCGUUCUUACCGAAGGAUGAACGCUAUGAUAAUUGCUAUGAUCCCGUUGAUUCGUUUGAAAUAUCCCUUUUUGAUGAUGCUUUCUAUGCUUGUGGCCAAGAUGCCAAUAUGAAUUAUGCUUAUGGAGAUGAACUUGCUAUAGUUCCUUAUAUUAAGAAUGAAAUUGUUGCUAUUUCACCCUCACAUGAUAGUCCUAUUGUCUUUUUGAAUUCCCCAAACUACACUAUAUCAGAGAAGUUUGUUCUUAUUAAGGAUUACAUUGAUGGGUUGCGUUCUACCACUACACAUCAUGAUUUUGAUGAGUAUAAUAUGCAUGUGAUUGAUGCUCCUACUUGCAAUUAUUAUGAGAGAGGAACUACAUCUCCGCCUCUUUAUGUUCCAACACGAAAGAAUUGCAAGAAACUGCUUAUGCUAUGUGUUGGCCUUUACUUGAUGUCCAUGAAUUGUUCUUGUAUGACAUGCCGAUGCAUAGGAAGAGAGUUAGGCUUUAUCAUUGCUUGUUAUAUGUUGCUUUUUGCUCACUACUAA